RNAcentral lists this ribosomal RNA (1528 nucleotides) under metagenome. Its description in RNAcentral is "bacterial SSU rRNA". It matches the Rfam family "Bacterial small subunit ribosomal RNA". The record is from RNAcentral.
CGGGUUUGAUCCUGGCUCAGAACGAACGCUGGCGGCGUGGUUAAAGCAUGCAAGUCGGACGGAAUUAAUUUAGAGGUAACUUUGAAUUAAUUUAGUGGCGAAAGGGUGAGUAAUGCGUGGAUAACGUACCCCGAACACGAGGAUAGCUAAUCGAAAGAUUAGGUAAUACUCGAUGAUGCCGAAGAAUCUCCUGUUUCUUCGGUCAAAGGUGGCCUCUAUUUAUAUGCUACUAGUUUGGGAGCGGUUCGCGUCCUAUCAGCUUGUUGGUAAGGUAAUGGCUUACCAAGGCUAAGACGGGUAGCUGGUCUGAGAGGAUGAUCAGCCACAUCGGGACUGAGACACUGCCCGGACCUCCACGGAGGGCUGCAGCAACGAAUCUUCCGCAAUGCGCGAAAGCGUGACGGAGCAACGCCGCGUGUAGGAUGAAGCCCCUUGGGGUGUAAACUACUGUCAGGGUUAUACAAGCAAAGGGUUCAAAUAGGGCCCGGAGUUGAGUUACCCCAGAGGAAGCCACGGCUAACUCUGUGCCAGCAGCCGCGGUAAUACAGAGGUGGCAAGCGUUGUUCGGAAUUACUGGGUUUAAAGGGUGUGUAGGCGGUUUAGUAAGCAUUUUGUGAAAGCUCCAGGCUCAACCUGGGAAUUGCAGAGUGAACUGCUGAACUUGAGGCAUGUAGGGGUUAAUGGAACUCUGAGUGGAGCGGUGAAAUGCGUAGAUAUUCAGGGGAACGCCAAUGGCGAAGGCAAUUAACUGGGCAUGUCCUGACGCUGAGACACGAAAGCGUGGGGAGCGAACGGGAUUAGAUACCCCGGUAGUCCACGCCCUAAACGAUGUAUACUGGCUUCAGGGACUUCUGACAGUUUCUGAAGCGUAGGGAAACCGUUAAGUAUACCACCUGGGGAGUACGGUCGCAAGAUUAAAACUCAAAGGAAUUGACGGGGGCUCACACAAGCGGUGGAGCAUGUGGCUUAAUUCGAAUCAACGCGAAGAACCUUACCUAGGUUUGACAUGUAUGGAUGCCCUUUUGGAAACAAGAGUAGGCUGCUUUCGGGUGAAACAUAUACAGGUGCUGCAUGGCUGUCGUCAGCUCGUGCCGUGAGGUGUUGGGUUAAGUCCCGUAACGAGCGAAACCCUUAUUGUUAGUUGCCAGCGAGUAAUGUCGGGAACUCUAGCAAGACUGCCGGCGUUAAGCCGGAGGAAGGUGGGGACGACGUCAAGUCAUCAUGGCCUUUAUGCCUAGGGAUGCACACGUACUACAAUGCCUGGUACAAAGCGACGCAAGACCGCGAGGUGGAGCAAAUCGCAAAAAACCAGGCCCAGUUCAGAUUGUAGUCUGCAACUCGACUACAUGAAGUUGGAAUCGCUAGUAAUCGCGUAUCAGCUACGACGCGGUGAAUGUGUUCCUGAGCCUUGUACACACCGCCCGUCAAGCCAUGGAAGUUGGGACCUCCCGAAGUCCUCUUAGCUAACCUUUUAGGAAGCGGAGGCCGACGGAGAGCUCGAUGACUGGGGCUAAGUCGUAACAAGGUA